UUGUCCAAAUUACGAAAAUACCCUUAGGAAUUGAGAAAUUCCCUACAUAUCCCUGAUUUCAGAAAAUAUUAAUUAAUUAAAAGGUUUAGUUGAUUAUUAUUUUUAUUAUUAUAUAGUAGUCCUACAUGAUGAUGAUUAUUUAUACAUGUGAUGUAUGAUGUGUGGACGGAUGAUCAUGGACCGUGUGAUGUGUGUACUUGUGAUUAUUAUUAUUGAGGUCUGCGAACCUCAAUUAUAUUUCUCGUUUAUUGUCCGGCCUGCGUGCCUAUGAUUAAGUUGUAAUCACAUGAGGAGGCGCAGCGGGAGCGUGGAUGCGAUAGCGGGACCCACGAGACGGACGAUCGUGAUGCAUGGAGAUGCAUCAAGAUGUCGACGAAACCGACGAGGACGAGAUGGACGAUCACAGGGCAUGGAGAUGCACCGUUGCACACAUAGAUCUUGAUGUGAGUGAUUAGGCCUACUGGCUCGGGCCUAAUCAUAUUAGGUUGUGGUCCAUGAUUAUCUGGUGUGAUUGCUUAUACACAUACUAGAUAUGUAUAUAUAUUUGCAUGCGAUGUAGAUAUAUAUUAAAUAUGUAUAUGUGUGACAUGUCAUAUUAGAAGACCAAAUUAUAGAAACAUCUCUCGAUAAUAUUAAGUCGGUAAACGUGAGGCAAUUAGAUUGACCCACGUGGCCUUCCAUCGUUAUGAGUAGGAACCGAUUCCCGGUGUAGGUUGAGUUGGUCGAGUCCCUCGAGACUCACCUAUAUCGCGAUUCGCUAUCUUGCUUACGA
RNAcentral lists this long non-coding RNA (772 nucleotides) under Musa acuminata (dwarf banana). Its description in RNAcentral is "long non-coding RNA (MACU_LNC007713)". The record is from RNAcentral. Lineage: Eukaryota; Viridiplantae; Streptophyta; Magnoliopsida; Zingiberales; Musaceae.